Molecule: ribosomal RNA, 477 nt
Filed under: uncultured bacterium
Lineage: Bacteria
Description: SSU rRNA
Rfam family: Bacterial small subunit ribosomal RNA
Source: RNAcentral
AGGACGAACGCUGGCGGCGUGCUUAACACAUGCAAGUCGAGCGAGGCCCUCUCUUCGGAGAGGUGCCCUAGCGGCGAACGGGUGAGUAACACGUGGGCAACCUGCCCCUAGCACUGGGAUAAGCCCGGGAAACCGGGUCUAAUACCGGAUAUGACCUUCAAGGGCAUCCUCGAAGGUGUAAAGGAUUCUGGCUAGGGAUGGGCCCGCGGCCUAUCAGCUUGUUGGUGGGGUAAUGGCCCACCAAGGCAACGACGGGUAGCCGGCCUGAGAGGGCGACCGGCCACACUGGGACUGAGACACGGCCCAGACUCCUACGGGAGGCAGCAGUGGGGAAUAUUGCACAAUGGGCGAAAGCCUGAUGCAGCGACGCCGCGUGAGGGAUGACGGCCUUCGGUUGUAAACCUCUUCAGCUCCGACGAAGCGAAAGUGACGGUAGGAGCAGAAGAAGCACCGGCCAACUACGCGCCAGCGAGCCGC